RNA transcript from Rosa chinensis, 1438 nucleotides. RefSeq lists it as uncharacterized. The transcript is spliced from 3 exons. The record is from RefSeq and is a predicted model, not a curated record. NCBI's taxonomy places the organism in Eukaryota, Viridiplantae, Streptophyta, Magnoliopsida, Rosales, Rosaceae.
CUUAAACUUCCCACCUUUUUUUUCCUUUUGUUUUCUGAAAGGAAAUAAAGGUGCUCAUUGAAAACUGAACCUCUCUCUCCUCUCACAUGGCCAAAAACACCAGUUGAUGUCGAACCAAUAGCCUAUCCUCCAGCAUUUGCAGUGGCUCAGGUCUAAGUUUUCAAAUACUCUCGAACAUCCCCACAUGUCCAACCAGUUCAAAAAAAUGCACAAGAACAAGGGAGGCGACAGAGGGAGACAAAUGGGUAGGAAGAACCAGAAGCCGGAAACCAAGGACCAAGAAUUGGACUCCAACGACCUAAGAAUGGACAUGAGGGAGAUUUCCAAGCGUAUUGAGCUCUUGGGGAGGAGCUCAUAUUGAGUGUAAUUCUAAAAUGAAACACUUAAAGUGAAUGAAGGAAGCCCAUAUAAAUUCUUUAUCAGUAAUCUCUUAUUUAGAUUCCAUGCCUUUGUUGUUUAAGUUUACAACUUUGCCAUUAAUGUUGUGGAUUUUAGUUUCCAAACGAAAUCCCAGAUCCAUGUUAGUCAAAGUUCUAGGGUAUUUGAGUUUGAGUGAUGGAAACCUGGUGGUACUUUGCAUUUCAUUCUGAAUUUGAGUGAUUAAAAGCUAGUACUUUGAAUUUCAUUGCUGGCUUGAAGCUUACAUGACGAUGGCAUGCUAUAUGUAGCCAAAUAUACCUCAAAAUAAAUUCUCUUUAAAUGGAAAUUUCUGAUCAAAAUUUCAGAAGAACUUUUCCCAGAAUUUGGGUGCUGACUUGUAAGUGAUUAUGUUUCUUUUAAUCUCUUAUAAAAUUGUAGUCUAAGCAGUCAUGGAUAGGUGCUAACUUUUUUUGGACUUCUGCAGAAACUGCCCUGCAACACAGCUCUCUUUGGUAUUUGUUUUACCCUACUUACUGAUCUUCAAAUAUACUGAAAUUUUGACAUGUUUCUGUUUUGUUAGUUAACAAAGGAUCUGGAAAGUUUCAUCUUAUUCCGAAGCAAAGUGAAUUUUCAGUGAUUCGUCCAAAUUCGGUCUGCAUUUGGGAAAGUUCCAGCAUUUUUAAUGUAUCCUCUGAUUUUCUGUUGAGAUUUGAACUCCUAUUUGAAUCAUUUAACUUAUGGUUUUUAUGUAUAUUGAGUUAUGCAUUUCAAAUAGUUGUUUCAAAACUGAUUUCAUGUCAAUUGGACUUACAAUGAAUUUUUGGUGAAUUUUCUAAGUUGACCAUGCUGUUGAGAUUUUUUUUUAUACUCCUGCAGUUCAGUCAGAUUGUGUUCAUCUUUUUCCUUGCUGUCCUAAAUCCGAAUUCCAUGAAAAUUUAGUAUGUUCUACCUUAACAUGUUUACUAUGAGUCUGCAAAAGUUCAAGUCCAUGGCUGUACAAAUGGACUUUAAUAAAUUCCCAAAGCUAAGUUGUUCAUGCCUUAACAUUCCCGUUCACUUAUGUCUCCCUUUUGAUGUG